GACGAACGCUGGCGGCGUGCUUAACACAUGCAAGUCGAGCGGUAAGGCCCUUUCGGGGGUACACGAGCGGCGAACGGGUGAGUAACACGUGGGUGACCUGCCCUCAGCUCUGGGAUAAGCCUGGGAAACCGGGUCUAAUACUGGAUAUGACUCCAUGACGCAUGUUGUGGGGUGGAAAGCCUUGUGCGGCUGAGGAUGGGCCCGCGGCCUAUCAGCUUGUUGGUAGGGAACGGCCUACCAAGGCGACGAUCCGUAACUGGUCUGAGAGGACGACCAGUCACACCGGAACUGAGACACGGUCCGGACUCCUACGGGAGGCAGCAGUGGGGAAUAUUGGACAAUGGGCGAAAGCCUGAUCCAGCGACGCCGCGUGGGUGAAGAAGGCCUGCGGGUUGU
RNAcentral lists this ribosomal RNA (396 nucleotides) under uncultured bacterium. Its description in RNAcentral is "bacterial SSU rRNA". It matches the Rfam family "Bacterial small subunit ribosomal RNA", at positions 28 to 426 of the family's 1533-position model. The record is from RNAcentral.